Molecule: long non-coding RNA, 4881 nt
Filed under: Triticum aestivum (bread wheat)
Lineage: Eukaryota; Viridiplantae; Streptophyta; Magnoliopsida; Poales; Poaceae
Description: long non-coding RNA (TAES_LNC018572)
Source: RNAcentral
CGGCUUGGGUUUCUUAUUCGCCUGGCUGGCUCAUCGCCUCUGAGAAAACCAUUCAAUACCUUGAUUAGUUGGUCGUAAGAAUGUGAAACUUAUUACUACAUUAGUGUGCAAUUUUUCACUUUGUACGUUAUGUAUGGAGUGAUUGCGAUUUGAGCAACAUUAAACCGAACAACCUAGACAGCCCACGUGCCAUGAAGUGUUGUUCAACACCGUAUGUGUGAUGGCCGGUUUAGCUAGGCCCACAGGGCAGUAGUUAGGGGCUUGGCCCACAAGUUAUCUUAGGUUAAUUCUUAUGCAAGUUAUCUUAGGUUAAUUCUUAUGCAAGUUAUCUAGGUUAUAAAUAUAGGCUGUAAGACUCUUUUUGGAAUCAAGCAAUAAGAAGAAUAUUAUCUCUAUUGCCCGGCUUCCAGAGGAGCCGAAACCCUAGCCGCCGCCGCCAUCCUCCUCCCACACGACGGCGCCCAGCCGCCGGCGCGCCGGCUCAUCGCCUCGUCCUACUCCAUCCUUCCCCUACAACCUACGGAGCAGGUCCGGUAGGAUCCCUGGUUCUACCAAUUUGGUAUCGCCUCGCCCCACUUCCAGCGUGGGCGGCUGCGUCUUCGCCUUCGCCGGUCUACACCACGGCUCCGGAGCAGCCGACCCCGUUUCCGCAGUUCAGCGGGCCAUCUGGCUCCGCGGGUCCCUAUCCGGAGUACUCCGACCAGGCACCACCCGCCUCGCUGCUCCGCACCUCCGAGCCAGCUCGACACGGCGCUCCGACCCAGACACCGCCGCGGUUCGCCAAGAUCGACUUCGCCACUUAUGACGGCACGGAGGAUCCCCUCAACUGGCUCAACCAGUGCGACCAGUUCUUCCGCGGGCAGUGCACACUUGCUUCGGAGCGGACCUGGCUUGCCUCUUAUCACCUCCGCGGCGCAGCCCAGACCUGGUACUACGCCCUCGAGCAGGACGAGGGCAGCAUGCCCCCUUGGGAGCGCUUCCGCGAGCUCUGCCUCCUUCGCUUUGGGCCUUCGGUUCGCGGGAGCCGCCUGGCGGAGCUCGGCCGCCUUCCCUUCACCUCCACGGUGCAGGACUACGCCGACUGUUUUCAGGCCCUGGCAUGCCAUGCGUCGAGUGUGACGGCGCAGCAGCGGGCCGACCUCUUUGUCGGUGGACUUCCGGAUCACAUCCGCAUGGACGUGGAGCUUCGGAGACCCCAGGAUCUCCAGUCGGCCAUGUACUACGCCCGCACGUUCGAGCGUCGCGCGGUGGCCAUCCAGCAGGAAUCACCGUCCCGGACCGCUGGGUCGCUACCCGGGUCGGAUUCCGCGCCGGGUCGGCCUGCGCAGGCUUCUGCGGCACCCCUCGCCGCGACCGCGGCGCGCCCGUUCCGCCGGCUCACCUCAGCCGAGAUACUCGAGCGUCGCCGCCAAGGGUUGUGCUUCAACUGCGACGAGCCCUACACGCCCGGCCACGCCUGCCCGCGACUCUUCUACCUGGAGGUUGCAGACUACAUUCCGGAGGACGCCGUCGCCGCCGACCUGGCCACCCCAGCUGUCGAGAAGGUGUUUGACGCUGGUUGAUCGCCUCGAGGAGUUCCGCAAGCGCUUCCCCACCUUACAGCUCGAGGACGAGCUGUUUGUGCAGGCGGGAAGAAGUGUUAUGGCCGGUUUAGCUAGGCCCACAGGGCAGUAGUUAGGGGCUUAGCCCACAAGUUAUCUUAGGUUAAUUCUUAUGCAAGUUAUCUUAGGUUAAUUCUUAUGCAAGUUAUCUAGGUUAUAAAUAUAGGCUAUAAGACUCUUUUUGGAAUCAAGUAAUAAGAAGAAUAUUAUCUCUAUUGCCCGGCUCCUCUGGGAGCCGGAACCCUAGCCGCCUCUAACCCUAGCCGCCGCCGCCAUCCUCCUCCCACGCGACGGCGCCCAGCCACCGGCGCGCCGCUCAUCGCCUCACCCUACUCCCUCCUUCCCCUACAAUCUACGGAGCAGGUCCGCUAGGAUCCCUGGUUCUACCAGUAUGCAUCUAUCUUCAACGCUCUCAUGGUCUCAAACAAAGGAUCUCUCUGGUUCACAUGUACACAUGUGGUCCAUUGUAUUCCAGUGGGAAUCCCGUGACCAAGUUGACCUACAAAAACGAUGAACGGGGGACAAGUAGUACAGAUGACAGAUGGGUUUACUUUCAUUUCUAAAAGGGACUUGGAUCUGUUUACUUGGUCUUCCAUAUUAUAUGGCGUGCAAUUUGAUUGCAGCACGCUCAAUCAUCGGAGGAAAAAAAGAUCCAUUAAUGGGUCCAUCGGAAGUUGGGUUUUUAAAUGAAAACUACUGAUGCAUCGAGUGUGCAUAUGUACUAUGUAGGCUGUUGGGAGGCGAAUACAAUGCAUAUGAGAUGCACUAGCAGACUAGCUCCAGCUGAAACCCAUGAGGCGCCCAUGAGAGCGUUGAAGAUACGACCAUUUCUUUUUCUUUUUCUUUCUCUUUGAUUGUGUCCUCCCUCCUCCCUCGAGUAAUUUUUAGACAAGUUUCAACAAUUUCCAAGUAAUUUUUAGACAUAUAUUUGGUGUACUAUAGCGAGCUUCAUGCAUGAAUGCAGGCCUAUGACUGAGCUAGAUUCAACUGAUGAUAGCAAAGCUUAAGCUAUAUAUAACACAGAACCACAACAAAAAUUGAAAGGUCCAGGAGGGAGGGCUCAGGAGAAGUACAAGAAGAAUUGGAGGAUGGGGUGUAUGCAUAUCCAUAUAUAUCACUUAAAACAAACCAGCCAGUUCCGAUUCUUCUGUUCCAAGUAAUAAGUUGAGUGGCCUGCUCUUUAUUUUUAUUUUUUGUCAUUUACACAGUAACGUUUGAUUUUACAUGUAAAUUCUAGAGAGAUUCUUUCUCCAACAGGUGUGUACGGCAUCUUUUUUCCUCCAACGCUCUCAUGGGUUCCGAUCUGGUUGUUUUUACAUGUAACUCUAGAGAGAUUCUUUCUUUCUCCAGCAGGUGUGUACUGCAUCUUUUUUCCUCCACCGCUCUCAUGGGUUUCGAUCUGGUUGGCACAUGUGCAUGUGAUCCAUCGUAUUCCAGUCCAAAACCCGUUAACCAAGUUGGCAUACAAGUAGUAUAGGAAUUAUAAACGGGGGACAUGUACACAUGAUAGGUGACUUUACUUCAUUUCAAAUAGGGACCUCGAUCCUACGGAUUCCUUUACUUGGUCCUUCCAUAUUCUAUGUGUGCAAGUUGAUUGCAUCCAUCGGGAGUCGGGGUUUUUAAUGAGGCUUUAAGGUAAGACAUCGGAAGUUGGACAGCACCAAGUGUCCAUGUGUACUAUGUACUCCUAUUGUUUUCUAACGGCAACUUGAUUAUGGACUGUAAUAUGAUGGAUAUGACCGGCACUAGCUCCACCGGAAACCAGUUAGGGAAAAAAAGCUCUAUCUGAAACCUACGAGAGAGCGUUGAAGAUGAGACAUUAUUUGUGAUAGAUACUGACAUACCUUGAAUUAACUUCAAUGGAAGGGGCCAUCUGAAUGUUAAGCUGCAGAUUUUGGAGCUCCACUGGGAAUGUGCUCACGAACGAGAAUUUAGGACCGAUAGUACGCCGCUUGGUUGUGUAAUUAAGUUUGCUCCUACCUAUUCAAUACAACAAGGUACAAAGCUUUUGUGUUUCCGAGAGAGAGAAAAAGUACGCCGCGCAACCGUACUGAGGAUUGUUUUCGGCAAAGGGUUAAGUUUGUUUUCGCACCUGCGUGCGGAGCAGCCAGCAGCAGUUGAUAUUGUUUGUUGUGCAUCUUGGCUGGUUUACCUGAAUUCACAUGUGAGACACGAAACAUUAGACUUUGUUUUAUAUAUAUCACACUGCUGAUACAUCAAAAUCUUACCUCCACUGGAAUCUUACAACAGAUGUUUGCAAUCGUUUGAACAAUGGCAAGUUAUAGUGGCUACUAUUAAACACAUCCUACUGGAUCAUGCAUGCACACUGUCAGAAUGCCUUCUUUUCUUGUUUUGCUACUGUGGCAUUGCUUCUUUGACUGCUCCAUCGAUGGCCCGGUUCAGUGCGAGAAAAGGCACAACCAAAGCGCCUACCAAGAAACGGGACUGAGACAUGAAUAUUUAGGAGACGGGAAAAGCAAAGUUCAAAGACCGAACAGUCAAAGAGAACCAUACCUCUGAAGGAUCUUCAUUAGGUUUGUCAUUUCAGAAUUCAGAUACAAAAAGAAAGACAACUUCACUCCCACUCAAUCCAAGCAAUGCAAGCAAAAAGAAAGUCCUUGGCUUUCCCCUGGUUCUAGUCAAUCACAACUUCAGAAGACGAGCUUCAAUAAUCUGCAUUCAAGAGGGCAACUAAAUUCAAAAUAUUUGAAGUAACAAACAUUCAGGCUGGUGACACUGUUAUAAACGUGUUGUCUAAAAUUUACUGGUACUGAAGGAGCAGUAUUUUUUUCAUUGUUUUAUUUUUAAGACAGAAAAGUAGAAAUUGUUGUUGCCGAAUCGAUCGAGAGGAGGAAACGAGCGAGAGAGAGAUGAACCAACGAGAGGAAGAAGACACUGGUAUGUUUUGUGCCGUCGAACUCGACAGCGUUUUUCUGUUAUUCCUCUCUCUGAAAGUAUGGCUAUUACAGAGGCUAACAACUGGGCUAACUAACUCCCGAUCAUCUUCCCACGAUCCACUUGUGCCGCGCCAUCCCACGGCUGCGUUUCGUGCGCCUAACUGAUCGGGAGAAAAGAUCAAAGCAAAACAAAAACGGUGAGUCUGUGCAUGCAGCACAACUCUGAACCUGACUACGUGCAACACCUGACAGACCAGGCAUGCAUCUGUUAUUCUAACAGCAAGCAAACUAACUGACGGUGAGCUUAGCUAGAGCCUACAGAAAUACCUCUGCUACACCCCUCAAGUAAUAGAAGGGAUCAUUGCCCUUGCCUACACAUGGGC